UGGGGAAUUUUCCGCAAUGGUCGAAAGCCUGACGGAGCAAUACCGCGUGAGGGAGGAAGGCUUUUGGGUUGUAAAACUCUUUUCUCUGGGAAGAAGGUCGGACGGUACCAGAGGAAUCAGCAUCGGCUUACUCCGUGCCAGCAGCCGCGGUAAGACGGAGGAUGCAAGCGUUAUCCGGAAUUAUUGGGCGUAAAGCGUCCGUAGGCGGUUAUACAAGUCUGCUGUUAAAGACUACAGCUCAACUGUGGGAUGGCGGUGGAAACUGUGUGACUAGAGUUCGGUAGGGGUAGAGGGAAUUCCCAGUGUAGCGGUGAAAUGCGUAGAUAUUGGGAAGAACACCAGUGGCGAAGGCGCUCUACUGGGCCGAGACUGACGCUGAUGGACGAAAGCUAGGGGAGCGAAAGGGAUUAGAUACCCCGGUAGUCC
Molecule: ribosomal RNA, 426 nt
Filed under: uncultured prokaryote
Description: bacterial SSU rRNA
Rfam family: Bacterial small subunit ribosomal RNA
Source: RNAcentral